This 510-nucleotide ribosomal RNA is filed under the name uncultured bacterium. RNAcentral's name for it is "partial 16S ribosomal RNA". It matches the Rfam family "Bacterial small subunit ribosomal RNA", at positions 28 to 507 of the family's 1533-position model. The record is from RNAcentral.
GACGAACGCUGGCGGCGUGCUUAACACAUGCAAGUCGAACGAAGAGCGACGGAAGCUUGCUUCUAUCACUCUUAGUGGCGAACGGGUGAGUAACGCGUAAUCACCCUGCCCUUCAGUGGGGGACAUCAGUUGGAACCGACUGCUAAUACCGCAUACGAUCUAACCUCGGCAUCGAGGAUAGAUGAAAGGUGGUCUCUACAUGUAUGCUAUCACUGAAGGAGGGGAUUGCGUCUGAUUAGCUAGUUGGAGGGGUAACGGGCUAACAAAGGGAUGAUUAGUAGGCGGACCGGAGAGAGGGACGGCCAAAAUGGGACCGAGACACGGCCCAGGCCUCUAAGGGGGGGAGCAGGGAGGAAACUUCCGCAAUGGAGGAAAGUCUGACGGGGCAACGCCGGCGGAGGGAUGGCAGGCUUCGGGUUGGAAAGACCUGGUUAUCGGGGCGAAAGGCCUGCGUGCGAAUAGAGGGAAGGAUUGACGGUACCGGAAUAGAAAGCCACGGCUAACUACGUG